UACGGAGGGUGCAAGCGUUGUCCGGAAUCACUGGGCGUAAAGGGCGCGUAGGCGGCUCGGUAAGUAGGGGGUGAAAUCCUGCGGCUUAACCGCAGGGCUGCCUUCUAAACUGUCGAGCUCGAGCACGGUAGAGGCAGAUGGAAUUCCCGGUGUAGCGGUGGAAUGCGUAGAGAUCGGGAAGAACAUCAGUGGCGAAGGCGGUCUGCUGGGCCGUUGCUGACGCUGAGGCGCGACAGCGUGGGGAGCAAUCCGG
This 253-nucleotide ribosomal RNA is filed under the name uncultured bacterium. Its description in RNAcentral is "partial 16S ribosomal RNA". It matches the Rfam family "Bacterial small subunit ribosomal RNA", at positions 524 to 776 of the family's 1533-position model. The record is from RNAcentral.